GUGUCAGCAGCCGCGGUAAUACAGAGGUCCCAAGCGUUGUUCGGAUUCACUGGGCGUAAAGGGUGCGUAGGUGGUGGGGUAAGUCGGAUGUGAAAGCUCGGAGCUCAACUCCGAAAUUGCAUUGGAAACUGCCCUGCUAGAGGGUCGGAGGGGGGACUGGAAUACUUGGUGUAGCAGUGAAAUGCGUAGAUAUCAAGUGGAACACCAGUGGCGAAGGCGAGUCCCUGGACGACUCCUGACACUGAGGCACGAAAGCUAGGGGAGCAAACAGGAUUAGAUACCCUGGUAGUCCUAGCCGUAAACGGUGCACGUUUGCUGUAAAAGGAAUCGACCCCUUUUGUGGCGUAGCUAACGCGUUAAACGUGCCGCCUGGGAAGUACGGUCGCAAGAUUAAA
This 395-nucleotide ribosomal RNA is filed under the name uncultured bacterium. RNAcentral's name for it is "bacterial SSU rRNA". It matches the Rfam family "Bacterial small subunit ribosomal RNA", at positions 505 to 898 of the family's 1533-position model. The record is from RNAcentral.